RNAcentral lists this long non-coding RNA (985 nucleotides) under Sus scrofa (pig). RNAcentral describes it as "lncRNA (ENSSSCG00065067910.1)". The record is from RNAcentral. Lineage: Eukaryota; Metazoa; Chordata; Mammalia; Artiodactyla; Suidae.
UUGAUAUUGGACUUUGCUUCCAUAUAGAAUGAAUUUCUCAACAUUAACUCACUGCGGCUUUGAGUAGUUUAUAGUGAGUCAGCAAGAGUUUAAAUGGGAGAGUGUGAACCGAUGACAUGUUCCUGUUGAAAGGCAGCUCUGACACGGACCAGAUCUCUGCCUGCUUCAGCCCUGAAAUCUCUAUCUUUGCUUGUCGUGUAGCAAAGACUUUUUCUUGCCUGAAUGUUUUCCUCCCAACGGUGAAGUGAGCCUGGAGGCAUUGUCAUGCCAUCGCCUUUCGUCUACUGAAACUCACAUUUCAGGUACUUCUCCCUCUUACACAAUAAAACAGCAAAGACAUGGGGUGGCGGGGGGGGGGGAAUCAAGUUGGCCUUGCAGCCUGGAAGCCUCUGGACUAGAUUUGCCUGGGCACCUUAGGGAGUUGGUAUUGACGCGCAGACAUGGAAACACAGAGUUUUAGAUUACUGAGCGAAAGAGAAAGAGAGAGAGGGAGAGAGAGUGGUGUAUCUGUGUGGGCUUGUGUGUUCUUUUUAAAAAAAAUUAUUUAAGUAUAGUUGAUUUGCAGUGUUAAUUUAUGCUCUAUAGCAAAGUGUGUCACUUAUACAUAUAUUUUUUUUCCACUAUGGUUUUUCACUAUAUUGAAUAUAGUUCCCUGUGUAUGCAGUAGGACCUUGUUUAUCUAUCCUAUAUAUAAUAGUUGGCCUCUGCUAAUCCCGAACUAUUUGUGUGUUGUUAACCUCUACUAGAUGGUUAUGAAGCUUACUCAAGGUUGAACACUGUAGAGGUAUUUCAAGUUGCUUUAGAGAGAAAAUUACCAAAAAAACCCCACAAAAACCUUUUUUAAAAAAAUGAUUUUUGUAUUUUCCAUUAUAGUUGGUUUAGAGUUUUCUGUGGUGGCUCUACUAUACAGCCAAGUGACCCAGUCAUACAUACAUAUAUACAUUCUUUUUGUUACAUUAUCCUCUAUCAUGCUCCAUCGCAAGUG